GGUUCUAUGGUGUAAUAGUUAGCACUCUGGACUUUGAAUGCAGCGGUCCGAGUUCAAAUCUCGGUAGGACUU
This 72-nucleotide transfer RNA is filed under the name Danionella translucida. It matches the Rfam family "tRNA". From Rfam's summary of the family: Transfer RNA (tRNA) molecules are approximately 80 nucleotides in length. Their secondary structure includes four short double-helical elements and three loops (D, anti-codon, and T loops). The record is from Rfam by way of RNAcentral. Lineage: Eukaryota; Metazoa; Chordata; Actinopteri; Cypriniformes; Danionidae. RNAcentral also lists the same sequence under 1 other name.